Molecule: long non-coding RNA, 456 nt
Filed under: Astyanax mexicanus (Mexican tetra)
Lineage: Eukaryota; Metazoa; Chordata; Actinopteri; Characiformes; Acestrorhamphidae
Description: lncRNA (ENSAMXG00005018526.1)
Source: RNAcentral
GAUGGGUUCGGCUGCUGGAUCACUACCUAAACCUCUGACUAUGAUGUCUAUUUGAUGUCUGUGGAUGUUCAAGAGCAGUUUACUACUUGGAACUCUUAUUAGGACCUCUGAUAAACAUCUGUGGGCAUGCAAUACUGGUUUACUGCUUGGACCUUUGACUAGGACUUCUUUUGGACAUCUGUGGAUGUGCAAGAUGAGCUCACAACCUGGACCUCUGACUAGAAGCUUUCCAUGCCUACCUUCACGCAGCAGGGCUCUUCAGUACACUGACUUUAAACACCACUCGUCUUACUGAGCUUGGAGAGGCCACGAUCCUUCACGACGGCGCGCGUGUGUGUUGCAGGUGAAGCUACGGGAGAGGAACGGGAGCGCUGGUGGAGCCGCGGCUGCCUGAAGUCUCGGGUGACCCGGACCCACAUCUGUCCUAAUAAACAUCCUCAUAUCCUCGUAAAUACA